AAAAAAUCAUGGCAAUGAUUGAUUCUGGGAAUGUUGAGCCUGCUGAGUUGUUGGCGAACAUGGACAAUCAGAUAUCAAUAUCCAAAGAAGAAGCUCUUAGCAGAAAAGAUAUUUUGGACAAGGUUGAGAAAUGGAUGUCAGCAUGUGAGGAAGAGAGUUGGCUUGAGGAUUACAAUCGGGAUGAAAAUAGGUACAAUGCCAGCAGAGGUGCACACUUAAACCUCAAGCGUGCAGAGAAAGCCCGGAUUUUGGUAAACAAAAUUCCAGCACUGGUGGACAC
This 280-nucleotide unclassified non-coding RNA is filed under the name Hevea brasiliensis (rubber tree). Lineage: Eukaryota; Viridiplantae; Streptophyta; Magnoliopsida; Malpighiales; Euphorbiaceae. The record is from RNAcentral.